This 465-nucleotide ribosomal RNA is filed under the name uncultured bacterium. RNAcentral's name for it is "partial 16S ribosomal RNA". It matches the Rfam family "Bacterial small subunit ribosomal RNA", at positions 338 to 795 of the family's 1533-position model. The record is from RNAcentral.
CCUACGGGAGGCAGCAGUGGGGAAUAUUGCGCAAUGGGCGAAAGCCUGACGCAGCGACGCCGCGUGAGGGAUGAAGGUCUUCGGAUCGUAAAACUCUGUUGGUAGAGAAGAACGUUGGUGAGAGUGGAAAGCUCAUCAAGUGACGGUAACUACCCAGAAAGGGACGGCUAACUAGGUGCCAGCAGCCGCGGGAAUACGUAGGUCCCGAGCUUUGUCCGGAGUUAUUGGGCGUAAAGCGAGCGGAGGUGGUUUAUUAAGUCUGGUGUAAAAGGCAGGGGCUCAACCAUUGGAUGCAUUGGAAACUGGUAGACUUGAGUGCAGGAGAGGAGAGUGGAAUUCCAUGUGUAGCGGUGAAAUGCGUAGAUAUAUGGAGGAACACCGGUGGCGAAAGCGGCUCUCUGGCCUGUAACUGACACUGAGGCUCGAAAGCGUGGGGAGCAAACAGGAUUAGAUACCCCUGUAGUC